RNAcentral lists this ribosomal RNA (909 nucleotides) under uncultured bacterium. RNAcentral's name for it is "bacterial SSU rRNA". It matches the Rfam family "Bacterial small subunit ribosomal RNA", at positions 33 to 935 of the family's 1533-position model. The record is from RNAcentral.
ACGCUAGCUACAGGCUUAACACAUGCAAGUCGAGGGGCAGCAUGUUGGUUGCUUGCAACCAAUGAUGGCGACCGGCGCACGGGUGAGUAACGCGUAUCCAACCUACCCAAUACUCAGGCAUAACCCGUUGAAAGACGGACUAAUUCCUGAUGGUAUGUAUCUUUCUCAUGAUUUAUACAUUAAAGAAUUUCGGUAUUGGAUGGGGAUGCGUCUGAUUAGUUUGUUGGUGAGGUAACGGCUCACCAAGACUUCGAUCAGUAGGGGUUCUGAGAGGAAGGUCCCCCACAUUGGAACUGAGACACGGUCCAAACUCCUACGGGAGGCAGCAGUGAGGAAUAUUGGUCAAUGGAUGGAAAUCUGAACCAGCCAAGUAGCGUGCAGGAUGACGGCCCUAUGGGUUGUAAACUGCUUUUAUGUGAGAAUAAAGUUAGGUAUGUAUACUUAUUUGCAUGUAUCACAUGAAUAAGGACCGGCUAAUUCCGUGCCAGCAGCCGCGGUAAUACGGAAGGUCCAGGCGUUAUCCGGAUUUAUUGGGUUUAAAGGGUGCGUAGGCCGUUUGAUAAGCGUGCUGUGAAAUAUAGUGGCUCAACCUCUAUCGUGCAGCGCGAACUGUUGAGCUUGAGUGCGUAGUAGGUAGGCGGAAUUCGUGGUGUAGCGGUGAAAUGCUUAGAUAUCACGAAGAACUCCGAUUGCGAAGGCAGCUUACCGUAACGUUACUGACGCUUAAGCACGAAGGUGCGGGUAUCGAACAGGAUUAGAUACCCUGGUAGUCCGCACAGUAAACGAUGGAUGCUCGCUGUUGGCCUUUAAUGGUCAGUGGCUUAGCGAAAGCGUUAAGCAUCCCACCUGGGGAGUACGCCGGCAACGGUGAAACUCAAAGGAAUUGACGGGGGCCCGCACAAGCGGAGG